RNAcentral lists this ribosomal RNA (423 nucleotides) under uncultured bacterium. RNAcentral's name for it is "bacterial SSU rRNA". It matches the Rfam family "Bacterial small subunit ribosomal RNA", at positions 355 to 774 of the family's 1533-position model. The record is from RNAcentral.
UGAGGAAUAUUGGUCAAUGGGCGCAAGCCUGAACCAGCCAUCCCGCGUGCAGGAAGACGGCGCUAUGCGUUGUAAACUGCUUUUCCAGGGAGAGAAACUUGCGCACGUGUUGCGCAAUUGACGGUACCCUGGGGAUAAGCAUCGGCUAACUCCGUGCCAGCAGCCGCGGUAAUACGGAGGAUGCGAGCGUUAUCCGGAUUCAUUGGGUUUAAAGGGUGCGUAGGCGGACUAUUAAGUCAGUGGUGAAAUCCUGCAGCUUAACUGCAGAACUGCCAUUGAUACUGAUAGCCUUGAGUUUGGUUAAGGUAGGCGGAAUGUGUAAUGUAGCGGUGAAAUGCUUAGAUAUUACACAGAACACCAAUUGCGUAGGCAGCUUACUGAACCGACACUGACGCUGAGGCACGAAAGCGUGGGGAUCGAACA